GACGAACGCUGGCGGCGUGCUUAACACAUGCAAGUCGAGCGGUAAGGCCCUUUCGGGGGUACGACGAGCGGCGAACGGGUGAGUAACACGUGGGUGACCUGCCCUCAGCUCUGGGAGUAAGCCUGGGAAACCGGGGUCUAAUACUGGAUAUGACUCCAUGACGCAUGUUGUGGGGUGGGAAAGCCUUGUGCGGCUGAGGAUGGGCCCGCGGCCUAUCAGCUUGUUGGUGGGGUGGAUGGCCUACCAAGGCGACGACGGGUAGCCGGCCUGAGAGGGCGACCGGCCACACUGGGACUGAGACACGGCCCAGACUCCUACGGGAGGGCAGCAGUGGGGAAGUCUUGCGCAAUGGGCGAAAGCCUGACGCAGCGACGCCGCGUGAGGGAUGACGGCCU
RNAcentral lists this ribosomal RNA (395 nucleotides) under uncultured bacterium. RNAcentral's name for it is "bacterial SSU rRNA". It matches the Rfam family "Bacterial small subunit ribosomal RNA", at positions 28 to 417 of the family's 1533-position model. The record is from RNAcentral.